RNAcentral lists this ribosomal RNA (372 nucleotides) under uncultured organism. RNAcentral's name for it is "bacterial SSU rRNA". It matches the Rfam family "Bacterial small subunit ribosomal RNA", at positions 526 to 896 of the family's 1533-position model. The record is from RNAcentral.
CGAAGGGUGCAAGCGUUACUCGGAAUUACUGGGCGUAAAGCGUGCGUAGGUGGUUUGUUAAGUCUGAUGUGAAAGCCCUGGGCUCAACCUGGGAACGGCAUUGGAAACUGGCUUACUAGAGUGCGGUAGAGGGGUGUGGAAUUCCCGGUGUAGCAGUGAAAUGCGUAGAUAUCGGGAGGAACAUCUGUGGCGAAGGCGACACCCUGGACCAGCACUGACACUGAGGCACGAAAGCGUGGGGAGCAAACAGGAUUAGAUACCCUGGUAGUCCACGCCCUAAACGAUGCGAACUGGAUGUUGGGUGCAAUUUGGCACUCAGUAUCGAAGCUAACGCGUUAAGUUCGCCGCCUGGGAAGUACGGUCGCAAGACUG